GUGGGGAAUCUUGCGCAAUGGGCGAAAGCCUGACGCAGCCAUGCCGCGUGAAUGAUGAAGGUCUUAGGAUUGUAAAAUUCUUUCACCGGGGACGAUAAUGACGGUACCCGGAGAAGAAGCCCCGGCUAACUUCGUGCCAGCAGCCGCGGUAAUACGAAGGGGGCUAGCGUUGCUCGGAAUUACUGGGCGUAAAGGGCGCGUAGGCGGACAGUUUAGUCAGAGGUGAAAGCCCAGGGCUCAACCUUGGAAUUGCCUUGGAUACUGGCUGUCUUGAGUACGGGAGAGGUGAGUUGAACUCCGAGUGUAGAGGUGAAAUUCGUAGAUAUUCGGAAGAACACCAGUGGCGAAGGCGACUCACUGGCCCGUUACUGACGCUGAGGCGCGAAAGCGUGGGGAGCAAACAGGAUUAGAUACCCUGGUAGUCC
This 425-nucleotide ribosomal RNA is filed under the name uncultured bacterium. RNAcentral's name for it is "partial 16S ribosomal RNA". It matches the Rfam family "Bacterial small subunit ribosomal RNA", at positions 354 to 796 of the family's 1533-position model. The record is from RNAcentral.